Molecule: transfer-messenger RNA, 357 nt
Filed under: Opitutaceae
Lineage: Bacteria; Pseudomonadati; Verrucomicrobiota; Opitutia; Opitutales
Also listed under: 1 other name
Description: Synoicihabitans sp021555095 Standard tmRNA
Rfam family: transfer-messenger RNA
About the family: Bacterial tmRNA, also known as 10Sa RNA or SsrA, is named for its dual tRNA and mRNA-like properties. Its role is to liberate the mRNA from a stalled ribosome. To accomplish this part of the tmRNA is used as a reading frame that ends in a translation stop signal.
Source: RNAcentral
GGGGGUGUUCUGGAUUCGACCUCUGGUUGGAUCGUCUCGCUGCCGGUCGAGUAUGAAGGUCGCUCGUUAAAACCCCUUCGACACAAAAUAAAUGGCACCUACGAAGAAAUGCCCCUCGCUGCUUAAAUAACGCAGUGACGAUCGCCCAGUGACACCUGAUAGCUGACGCGAUCGCCGACUUCAGGCAUAACGCAUUCUGCGACCCGCGGAGUUUGCGUCGUAUCUUCGACCCGGGGGUUGGCGAGCGUUUGGCUGGGUUCGAUGCCUGACGUGAGCGAGAUUAAUUUGAACCUAUACCGGUAGAUGCGGGCCGUGAAGGUCACAGGGACGCGGGUUCAAUUCCCGCCACCUCCACCA